GCGAGCGUGGCGGAAUUGGCAGACGCGCUGGGUUUAGGUCCCAGUGACCCUAGGUCGUGGGGGUUCGAGUCCCCCCGCUCGCACCA
RNAcentral lists this transfer RNA (86 nucleotides) under Actinomycetota bacterium. RNAcentral describes it as "Actinobacteria bacterium tRNA-Leu". It matches the Rfam family "tRNA". Rfam says of the family: Transfer RNA (tRNA) molecules are approximately 80 nucleotides in length. Their secondary structure includes four short double-helical elements and three loops (D, anti-codon, and T loops). Further hydrogen bonds mediate the characteristic L-shaped molecular structure. tRNAs have two regions of fundamental functional importance: the anti-codon, which is responsible for specific mRNA codon recognition, and the 3' end, to which the tRNAs corresponding amino acid is attached (by aminoacyl-tRNA synthetases). tRNAs cope with the degeneracy of the genetic code in two manners: having more than one tRNA (with a specific anti-codon) for a particular amino acid; and 'wobble' base-pairing, i.e. permitting non-standard base-pairing at the 3rd anti-codon position. The record is from RNAcentral. Lineage: Bacteria; Bacillati; Actinomycetota.